Molecule: ribosomal RNA, 502 nt
Filed under: uncultured bacterium
Lineage: Bacteria
Description: bacterial SSU rRNA
Rfam family: Bacterial small subunit ribosomal RNA
Source: RNAcentral
GAUCAUGGCUCAGGAUGAACGCUAGCUACAGGCUUAACACAUGCAAGUCGAGGGCAGCAUGAACUUAGCUUGCUAAGUUUGAUGGCGACCGGCGCACGGGUGAGCAACACGUAUCCAACCUGCCGAUGACUCGGGGAUAGCCUUUCGAAAGAAAGAUUAAUACCCGAUGGCAUAGUUCUUCCGCAUGGUAGAACUAUUAAAGAUUUAUCGGUGUACGAUGGGGAUGCGUUCCAUUAGGUAGUAGGCGGGGUAACGGCCCACCUAGCCAACGAUGGAUAGGGGUUCUGAGAGGAAGGUCCCCCACAUUGGAACUGAGACACGGUCCAAACUCCUACGGGAGGCAGCAGUGAGGAAUAUUGGUCAAUGGACGAGAGUCUGAACCAGCCAAGUAGCGUGAAGGAUGAAGGUCCUACGGAUUGUAAACUUCUUUUAUAAGGGAAUAAAGUGAGUCUCGUGAGACUUUUUGCAUGUACCUUAUGAAUAAGGACCGGCUAAUUCCGUG